GAUGAACGCUGGCGGCGUGCCUAAUACAUGCAAGUCGAGCGAACAGACGAGGAGCUUGCUCCUCUGACGUUAGCGGCGGACGGGUGAGUAACACGUGGAUAACCUACCUAUAAGACUGGGAUAACUUCGGGAAACCGGAGCUAAUACCGGAUAAUAUAUUGAACCGCAUGGUUCAAUAGUGAAAGACGGUUUUGCUGGCACUUAUAGAUGGAUCCGCGCCGCAUUAGCUAGUUGGUAAGGUAACGGGUUACCAAGGCAACGAUGCGUAGCCGACCUGAGAGGCUGAUCGGCCACCCUGGAACUGAGACACGGUCCAGACUCCUACGGGAGGCAGCAGUAGGGAAUCUUCCGCAAUGGGCGAAAGCCUGACGGAGCAACGCCGCGUGAGUGAUGAAGGUCUUCGGAUCGUAAAACUCUGUUAUUAGGGAAGAACAAAUGUGUAAGUAACUAUGCACGUCUUGACGGUACCUAAUCAGAAAGCCACGGCUAACUACGUG
RNAcentral lists this ribosomal RNA (497 nucleotides) under uncultured bacterium. Its description in RNAcentral is "partial 16S ribosomal RNA". It matches the Rfam family "Bacterial small subunit ribosomal RNA", at positions 28 to 507 of the family's 1533-position model. The record is from RNAcentral.